Mobula hypostoma (lesser devil ray) is the source of this 1927-nucleotide long non-coding RNA. RefSeq lists it as uncharacterized. The transcript has 4 exons. NCBI's taxonomy places the organism in Eukaryota, Metazoa, Chordata, Chondrichthyes, Myliobatiformes, Myliobatidae. The record is from RefSeq and is a predicted model, not a curated record.
UUUAACUUGUCAAGUUUAGUUUAAAAAUUUCUGGAAAAUGUUGGCUGGUAUAGUUGCUCAAUGUUUUCUCUGGUAUGUUAUUUUUUUGGUAUGCUGGCCUUCAUUCUUGGUUGUAUAACUGAACAGGCUCUGCCCACAGACUGGCAAUGGUAUGCAUUAAUAAUCAGUUAGUGAACGCCAUCUGCUCUGUCAUUAGUACUGGCAAAGAAAUGGUGAAACUGAUUGGUCAUUCUCCUUUGAAUAUCUUGGGUUGCUCUGUGUUGAAUCCAAACCAGAAUUCCUCUGUGAUCAGCAGCUUUUCUUCUUUCUCAUGAGCAGGCCCUCGGGAUUCAGGAUGACUGACUUCCAUGCCAGUUUUGUGGGCUGUGAGGUGACCAAUGACACUCGCAGAUUCUACCACAAGUGGGGCAGGAUGUGCAUCAUGGGACCGAGGAAAUGGCUUUCGCAGGAUCAUUCGGGAGAGUGCCAUUCACAAUCUACACUUACACCUGGGCGUUACAACAGCGUAGUGGUUGGUGCGACACUAUUGCAGCUCGGGCUGUUCUGGAGCUUGGAGGUCAAUUCCAGCACUGUUCUGUAAGGAGUCUCCGUACGCCCACUGGUUCUCCCCAGGUGCUCCAGUUUUCUGCCACACUUCAAAGAUGUUCUAGGGGACCUCUCCUGGGCCCAGCACGCAAGGGCAAUUAUGAAGGAAGCACAGCAGCGCCUCUACUUCCACAGAAAUUUGUGAAGAUUUGGCAUGACAUAAAACUUUGACAAAUUUCUAUAGAUGAGUGGUGAAGGGUAUAAUGACUGGUUGCUUUACAGCCCAGAACGAAAUCUCCAGCGUCCUUGAAUGGAAAAUCCUACAAAACGUAGUGGAUUGGGCACAUCUACAGAGCGUUGUCACAGGAGAGCAGCAUCCAUCAUCAAAAACCCCACCACCCGAGACUGUCUUCUCGUUGCUGCAAUCGGGAAGAAUGUACAGGAGCCUCAGGACUCACACCACUAGAUUCAGGAAAAGUUAUUAACCCUCAACCUUCAGGCUCUUGAACCAGAGGGGUUAACUUCACGCCACUUCACUUGCCCCAUCACCAAACUAUUCCCACAAUCUAUGGACUGACUUUCAAAGACUCCUCAUUUCAUGUUCUCUAUUUAUUGCCUAUUUAUUUAUUAUCUUUUUUUCUGUUGUAAUUGCACAGUUUGUUGUAUUUUACACAUUGGUUGUUUGUUGGUCCUAAUGGGCAUGGUCUUUCAUUGAUUCUUGGUUUUGUUGGUAUGCACACAAGAAAACUAAUCUCAAGAGUUGUAUAUAGUAACAUAUACGUACUGUAUUUUGGAAACACAUUUACCUUGAACUUUGAAGCAUUGGUCGGGAUACUCCUAUCCAGGAUCAACUACAACGAGUCCUGCUACAUCUCUUCCUGCCCUUCUAAAACCAUACAUUGUUCAGUUUUCAAUAGCGUGGAGAACUGGGUGAGAUAUUAAUGUUAUAUAUCAGCAACAAACAGUACUAGCCAGAAUCAUAGUGCCACAUCUGUUUGUCCUAACUUAUGUUGGUAGUUCAAGAUUACUACGGUUCUGGAGGGGAAUACACAGUUGAUAUUUCAGGCUGAGGCCCUUCAACAGGUCUGGAAAGGAAAGAGGCAGAAGCCAGAAUAAGGAGGUGGGAAGAGAGGAAGGAGGACAAGCAGGCAUGUGAGAGGUGAGACUGAGUGAGGGGCCUUCUCUCUUUUACCAUUCCCCAUUCCCUCUCACACCUUCUCUUCUCCUCACUUGCCUAUCACCUUCCUCUGGUUCCCCCUCUCUCCCACCCCCUUUCUUCCAUGGUCCGCUAUCCUCUGCUGUCAGAUUCCUUCUUCUUCAACCCUUUAUCUUUUCCACCUAUCCCCUCCCAACUUUACUUCGUCCUCCUUCCCCAACCCACCUACCUCCCCCCUCACCUGUU